AACGAACGCUGGCGGCAGGCCUAACACAUGCAAGUCGAGCGAGAUCUUCGGGUCUAGCGGCGGACGGGUGAGUAACGCGUGGGAAUAUGCCUCUUGGUACGGAAUAGCCUCGGGAGACUGGGAGUAAUACCGUAUGUGCCCUUUGGGGGAAAGAUCUAUCGCCAAGAGAUUAGGCCGCGUUGGAUUAGGUAGUUGGUGGGGUAAUGGCCGACCAAGCCGAGGAUGCAUAGCUGGUUGGAUAGGAUGAUAAGCCACGCUGGGACUGAGACACGGCCCAGACUCCGACGGGAGGCAGCGGUGGGGAAUAUUAGAGGAUGGGGGCAACUCUGAUAUAGCCAUGCCGCGUGAGUGAUGAAGGCCGUAGGGUUGUAAAGCUCUUUCAGAUGGGAAGAUAAUGACGGUACCAGCAGAAGAAGCCCCGGCUAACUCCGUG
RNAcentral lists this ribosomal RNA (433 nucleotides) under uncultured bacterium. Its description in RNAcentral is "partial 16S ribosomal RNA". It matches the Rfam family "Bacterial small subunit ribosomal RNA", at positions 29 to 507 of the family's 1533-position model. The record is from RNAcentral.